UACGAAGGGGGCUAGCGUUGCUCGGAAUUAUUGGGCGUAAAGGGCGCGUAGGCGGCUUGGUAAGUUUGAUGUGAAAUCCCAUGGCUCAACCAUGGAACUGCAUCUCAUACUGCCGAGCUAGAGUCUGGGAGAGGGAAGCGGAAUUCCCGGUGUAGCGGUGAAAUGCGCAGAUAUCAGGAGGAACACCGGUGGCGAAGGCGGGUCUCUGGGCCGAUACUGACGCUGAGGAGCGAAAGCGUGGGGAGCGAACAGG
This 253-nucleotide ribosomal RNA is filed under the name uncultured bacterium. RNAcentral's name for it is "partial 16S ribosomal RNA". It matches the Rfam family "Bacterial small subunit ribosomal RNA", at positions 524 to 776 of the family's 1533-position model. The record is from RNAcentral.